ACUCCUGAGCCCAGCUGUGUGAACGAACACAGGUUCACAGCCUUAUGAACCAGGCUGCAGCACCCCCUGCCCGCAGCCUGGAGAGGACAAGGCGGCCUGGAGGACCAGAGAAGUCCCACAGGUCUUGGACUAAAGAAAAGUGCGGGAAUUGAAGACGCCCCCUCCCAGAGUGAGUGUACCACACAGAUAAGUCUCGGAGACCAGAGAGAGGGUUUGGCCUUCGCCUGGAGUCACGGAGUAAGUCACACCCCACCCAACCCCACCCCACCCCGUGUGUGUUAGAGGAAGUCCUCAGUGAAAGUCUGGGUGGCUUCAGGAUUUCCUUUGAGUCACCUGGAGAAAAAAGUUUCAACGGGGUCUCUUCCUGGCCCACUGGACAGACGCUGACUUCCUUCAUCCAACUGAGGAUUUAUCUGUUUAGAGCAGCUGGAAGCAGAUGUGGGGCCCCGCUUCUGACCUGCCUAUUUCACGGUCCGGCAUAGUGAAGCCUGGCUUAGCUGAGUGAGUGAGUGAGGGGCAGGGAGCCCAGAGACACCACAUCUGCCCUGCAGGCACACAGCAAGGCUCAGGGAUAGGAAUGCCCUAGGGGUCUCAUAAGUGAACUGGGAGGGGUUAUGACCCGGAUUCACAGUGGAAUGUCUUCCAUUGCAGUCUGCCACAGGCUCCUUCCCAGUGGGAGAGAUUCCCUUCCUAUCCACAAACACCAUCAGACCCGCCCCCACUUCAGGGACAGACCCAGAGUAGCAGACAAGGCAAGGUAAACUGAGACAGAAUUCGGGGUGCACACACGAGAAGCUUCUUUGAGAAUCGGGACCCCCUCACCUGGAGGUCCUAAACAGGAGACUCUCUAGCCCAUCCUGGGUUUCCACAGAUCCUGAAUCCCCUGCUUUAAUUGGGAGUGUUCCACUGUCAACCUCUAUUUCUAGGUUGUCACAGGCCUGAAAUAGGGACAUAGUCCAGGCAGGAGGACUUCAUCCAGGAUAGAUGGGCGUCCCUAUGUGAAAUCCUAACUCUGGGAGCCCUUAUGAUUUUUGUGACAGUAUAUGUUAGCUCAGGCUACCCUCAAAUUAUGAGGCCCUGAUCCUCCUGCCUCAGCUCCCCAGUGCUGGAAUGACAGAUAUGUGCAGCCACAUCUAACUUUUUAAGAAAAGUCUUGAGAAAGGGUCUCUCUGUGUAGCUCUGGCUGGCCUUGAGCUUCUGGAAAUCCACCUGCCUCAGCUUCCUGAGUGUCUACUGCUUCUGCGAGCUCACCUGGAAGUAACAUCUGCUGGUGUCACAGGUUGUCUUGGCUGCGGUGAAGUCACUGGCCACGGCGUUCACGCCUACGCUGCGCUCCAACCGCGCACCACCACCUCAGGUGCUUGCACAUGCAGCAGUGCGGCUGCCUGGAACAUCACCAGCCUGGCAGCCGCUGCCCCCGACCCCCGCGGCGCCCGAAGCUGCGCAGGGAGCCCAGCUGCAUGUCCCACGAACCGGGUCCCUAGACACCCGGACUUCCUACUCCAUGACGUUGAUUAUUAAGUCCGGGGCAGGGAAAAUGUGUCCUCUGACCGAGGCGAUCUGUGGCCUCACAACUGCGUUUUAUUCUCUCUCUCUCCCUCCUUCCCUCCGUCCUUCCCCCCCUCCCUUUCUUUUUGGUUUUCUGUAUAGCCCUGGCUGUUCUGGAACUCACUUUGUAGACCAGGCUGGCCUCGAACUCAGAAAUCCGCCUGCCUCUGCCUCCCAAAUGCUGGGAGUAAAGGCUUGCACCACGCCAGGCCAUUUUAUACUCUCAUUUAGCCCCAGCCCGCCUCCCGGUGAUGCACAGACCUUAGAAACACGCAGCGCGCAGUUGGAAUCUGAAGGACCCUGUUGUCCUCCACGCCCAAAUGUUUCACCAGAAUCCCAAGUCACCUACAGCCUUGUUUAUUUCUGUGCCACCCCACGUCUUACACUGUAUACACUGCAACCCACCUGCCUUUGCCUCCUAGGUGUUAGGAAUAAAGGCAUGUGUCACAUUGACCUGCCUUGUUUAUUUCUUCUGGACCUGUUUUGAUCUCAGUCCCCUUCCUGAUGGACAGGAGCUAAUACUGGGCUCAGAAGGGGCAGGAUGGGUCCAUGUUUCCCAAGCCCUCAUGGGCAGUCUUAGGAAGGAGGGGGUAUUUAUUGAGCACCUACUGUCUGACCCGUGUGGGGGUUGGGUUAGGCCUGUUUCCCACAGCAGCAGGGGAAUAAAGCCUGCCCAGGUCCACCCCAGAGCUCCACCCCACAAACUUAUAGAAUCCAAACUGGGCCUCUGGGUUCCCACACAGGUCCACUAUCUCCCAAGACAGGUGGCUGAAAGUCUGAUCAGAGGACACUGUGACUUAGGCUGCUCUUGAUAAGCCGCCCAUGCCUGUGAGGUGUCUCAGUGUUCCCCAAGUACCCAAAGUCUGAAGCCUAAGGUCUGAAGUGACCGUGGUGACUCUGCUCGUCUGUAACCCUGGCCUCUCACCCUCCCGUGUGUCCUUACUUUGACAUCAGGAUCCCCAAGUAGAAUCUAUCCGCUUAUGCUGUUUAACAAGUGUGUUUGCCUCAGACCAUUGCUGUGUGGCUACAGGCAAGUGGCCUCACCUCUCUGAAUUCUCAUUUGUUUGUAUCUUACUCCAGUUAGAUAGAUCCUGAAGAAAAGCCAUUGUUUCAGUCCCUGUAUACAGUAGAUACUCAAUGCAUGUGCAGUGACUUUCCACGUCUGUCCCCGUCCAUUAAGGAAUCCCCAGGUGGGGUCAUCUACCUCCUCUGGGGAGAUGUUUGCAGCCCCCUGCAUGUCAACAGAAAGCGGGCUGGAAGCUCCUGAUUUACUUAGAAAUGUUGAGGCCCCUGCUACUACUCCUUGCCCUCCUGGGGCCUGGGACAGCUAAGGGGACCUGGAUCCUGUGGCCCAGCCUCAGAAGGAUGAGUGCCAGUCCAGUCGGCUCAGUUCACCCAAGCUUCUAAAUGCAGUAGUCCGGAGGUCCAAAACGGCAAGGAGCUAGCUGUGGCCACACGAUGGCUGAGAUGGAGCAGUCUAGCGGUCAGCAGCCAUCACCCACAGUCUGAUCCCAUGGUGGGCAGCCAGUGGCUUUGUGGGCUCUGGGUGGCUGUGGCCAGGUGACCAGGCCCAGGCCAGGGUGGUGGUAGAGGGCAUAUGGCUUGGGCUAUAAGGCCUGGUAGAGCCUGCAGGGAGGCACCCAGGACAUCCAGUCGGCUCUCCAAGGCGGCUAGGCGUGCCUCCAACUCCUCCUGCUGGGCCUGCAGCUCUGACACCACCUCAUAUGCGAUGCUCUGUGCCUACAGAGAUGGAGAGACAGACCGAGUGAUAAAGGGAGGGACCAGGAGAUGGCUGAGGGCAGAGGGCUAAGGACAGUAGGGGCCAGCAUGAGGAUUAAAGAGCAGGGGACUGAGCAGUUUUUGUUCCAGCAGCUCGCCGGCUGUGUGACCAGCAGGGGGCGCCAGAGGUGCAGAGUCCCAACACAGGCCGCCAGGGAGCUGGUGAACAUGUCAGGCUCAGAUGGAGCUAGAGAAUGGUUUUCUUCUUUGGGCCACCAUGGCUUUGCCCAGACUGUAGCUUACCUGUCCCUACUUGUCCAGAAACCAGGAUGUGACAUUUGAAGACACCCAUAACUGUUAGCUCAUAGCCCUCUCUGGUAUUGUUUGUUUGUUUAUUCAUUUAUUGAGACAGGGCAUAAAUAACCAUGUAGCCUUGGCUGGCCUGGAACUCCCUACCUGGACCAGACUGGCCUCAAACUCAGAAGCCAGAGACCUGGGAUUAAAGGUUUGUGCCGCCAGACCCAGCUUGGCUUUAUUUGUUUGGUUGGUUUUUAUUUAUAUGUAUGUGUGUAUUUCUUGAGACAGUCUCCAGGCUGUCCUUGAAUUUGAAGCAAUCAUCCUCCUGCAGCCAUGUGAGUACUGGAGUAAACUAUGUGAAAUGAACCAUUAUGACUUCUGAACUCUAGAAGCUGAGGCAGUGUAGCGUCCCCCAGCGGUGAGCAGGCUGGCUCAGACCUGUUCUGCCACUGUGAAGGGGACCACCUGGGGUGGAGACUUCCGAGACAUAGCUAGGUCUAGUGUUCUGCCCCCUCUGUGCUCUUCUCCAAGAUGCUGCUGCCUGCUGACAGGCUGAACCUGUCUUCCUGAGCCGAUCCUGAAUAAGCAACAGCCUGGCCACCAAGUACUGACAGCCUGGCGGCAGAGCAAGGAGAACCUGGAGUGUUGGAGGAUGGCCCUUUCACCUUUAUAAGCUCAGACUCUUAAGUAAACUUUGGGCCUUGAUCAGU
RNAcentral lists this long non-coding RNA (4274 nucleotides) under Mus musculus (house mouse). Its description in RNAcentral is "long non-coding RNA chr8:70841273-70845547". The record is from RNAcentral. Lineage: Eukaryota; Metazoa; Chordata; Mammalia; Rodentia; Muridae.